Long non-coding RNA from Symsagittifera roscoffensis, 717 nucleotides. RefSeq lists it as uncharacterized. Lineage: Eukaryota; Metazoa; Xenacoelomorpha; Acoela; Convolutidae. The transcript has 2 exons. The record is from RefSeq and is a predicted model, not a curated record.
AACAGCUGCCGUAUUUUUGCCAGAUACCAAUUUGAAUGUCAUUAAUAAUAAUUGUUUUUCUUUGUAUUCUUUCUCUUUCUGUUCGGCUGAUUGGAACAACGAUGUAGAGUGGAGUAUAAAUAAAACAUGUCAUCAAUCCAAACAGAAAACAAUAACUGAAACUGAAACUGAAACAAAACCAGUAUAAAUACGAGCUUUUUGAUAAAACGAAGUAUUACAAAUUUAUUUUUGAAGUAGAAGAAAUUUGAGACUUGAUCGAAACUUAAGAAUUGAUCAACAUGCCUGGCAAAACACCAAUGACAACAGAUGCGGCCGCCAGAAUUCAGAGUCACGAGGCAAGGCAGAGCGGAACCGGUCAUGUGCAAUCGGGAGGAUUCGCAUCCAGGGCGCAAGGAGCUGCUGCGGGUAAUGUGAAUCAAGGAAGAACUCAGCACCAAGGAGGCAAAAAGUGAGCGAUGACAGGUGAAGAAGAAAGUGACAGGUGAACGGUUGGAUCAAAUCAAAUUCCCUUCAGCAGUCUUGAAACUGACAACAUGAAAAAAUCAAAAAAGAUGAGCGAAUUUGAUCUGAAAGAUUUAUGAUAAUAUCCCGGGUUAUGUAAAGUUAAGUCCAUAUAAAGUUAUGUAAAGUUUGUUCAGUUUUAACCAGUAUGUAGUUUGUAGUAGAAUGUUGUAUGGAAUCGUGAUAUUUUAGACAAUACAUUUAUGGUUGAUUGAA